This 124-nucleotide non-coding RNA is filed under the name Pygoscelis adeliae (Adelie penguin). Its description in RNAcentral is "Eukaryotic small subunit ribosomal RNA". It matches the Rfam family "Eukaryotic small subunit ribosomal RNA", at positions 989 to 1112 of the family's 1831-position model. The record is from Rfam by way of RNAcentral. Lineage: Eukaryota; Metazoa; Chordata; Aves; Sphenisciformes; Spheniscidae.
AUCGGAGGUUCGAAGACGAUCAGAUACUGUUGUAGUUCCGACCAUAAACGAUGCCGACUGGCGAUCCGGCGGCGUUAUUCCCAUGACCCGCCGGGCAGCUCCCGGGAAACCCAAGUCUUUGGGU